GAAAUGCGAUAAUUAAUGUGAAUUGCAGAAUUCAGUGAAUCAUCGAGUCUUUGAACGCACAUUGCGCCCCCUGGUAUUCCGGGGGGCAUGCCUGUCCGAGCGUCAUUGCUGCCCUCAAGCACGGCUUGUGUGUUGGGCUUCCGUCCCUGGCAACGGGGACGGGCCCAAAAGGCAGUGGCGGCACCAUGUCUGGUCCUCGAGCGUAUGGGGCUUUGUCACCCGCUCCCGCAGGUCCAGCUGGCAGCUAGCCUCGCAACCAAUCUUUUUAACCAGGUUGACCUCGGAUCAGGUAGGGAUACCCGCUGAACUUAAGC
RNAcentral lists this unclassified non-coding RNA (314 nucleotides) under plant metagenome. RNAcentral's name for it is "partial contains 5.8S ribosomal RNA, internal transcribed spacer 2, and large subunit ribosomal RNA". The stretch from base 1 to 105 matches the Rfam family "5.8S ribosomal RNA", at positions 50 to 154 of the family's 154-position model. The record is from RNAcentral.